GAGGAUUUUGAGUGAAAUUUCAAGUAACGAAAUAUCAAUCGAGGUCCGGGCAACGCGUAGACGCGAUUAUAAUUUCGUUUGGUGUUGGAGUUAUCUUGGGGACAAGAAAAUGAUGAAGAUUUUGCUACCUUCAUAAAAAAAAAUAAGAUUACGAAGCUACGAAUAAUUCUUAAGAGAGUUACAAGACAGGAAGUAAGUUGGAAGUCGAGAAUUAUCUUCCAGGUGUAUACAGACGAGUAGAGGAUAUGGCUAGAAGAUGUUCCAGCUGGAUUGGCGAGCUCCAUUUCUUUCCGGAGUGUUGCCGAGUCAGAGUAUCCAUGUCAUGGUAUAAUGAUUUAUGUUAGAGACUUUGCAGACAGAGUCACGUAUAUAGUAUGUCGGUUUUGCAAGUGGCUCAGUAAGCCGAUGUAUUAUCAUGCAUU
Molecule: long non-coding RNA, 422 nt
Organism: Lycium ferocissimum
Lineage: Eukaryota; Viridiplantae; Streptophyta; Magnoliopsida; Solanales; Solanaceae
Exons: 3
Source: RefSeq, a predicted model, not a curated record